This 468-nucleotide ribosomal RNA is filed under the name uncultured bacterium. RNAcentral's name for it is "partial 16S ribosomal RNA". It matches the Rfam family "Bacterial small subunit ribosomal RNA", at positions 28 to 507 of the family's 1533-position model. The record is from RNAcentral.
GACGAACGCUGGCGGCGUGCUUAACACAUGCAAGUCGAACGGAAAGGCCCUGCUUUUGUGGGGUGCUCGAGUGGCGAACGGGUGAGUAACACGUGAGUAACCUGCCCUUGACUUUGGGAUAACUUCAGGAAACUGGGGCUAAUACCGGAUAGGAGCUCCUGCUGCAUGGUGGGGGUUGGAAAGUUUCGGCGGUUGGGGAUGGACUCGCGGCUUAUCAGCUUGUUGGUUGGGUAGUGGCUUACCAAGGCUUUGACGGGUAGCCGGCCUGAGAGGGUGACCGGCCACAUUGGGACUGGGAUACGGCCCAGACUCCUACGGGAGGCAGCAGUGGGGAAUAUUGCACAAUGGGCGGAAGCCUGAUGCAGCAACGCCGCGUGCGGGAUGACGGCCUUCGGGUUGUAAACCGCUUUCGCCUGUGACGAAGCGUGAGUGACGGUAAUGGGUAAAGAAGCACCGGCUAACUACGUG